Molecule: ribosomal RNA, 576 nt
Filed under: uncultured bacterium
Lineage: Bacteria
Description: bacterial SSU rRNA
Rfam family: Bacterial small subunit ribosomal RNA
Source: RNAcentral
AGAGUUUGAUUAUGGCUCAGGAUGAACGCUAGCGGCAGGCUUAACACAUGCAAGUCGAGGGGCAGCGGGGAGGAAGCUUGCUUUCUCCGCCGGCGACCGGCGCACGGGUGAGUAACACGUAUGCAACCUGCCCCUGUCAGGGGGACAACCCGCCGAAAGGCGGGCUAAACCCGCGUACAUGCCACCGGGGCAUCCCGGAGGCAGGAAAGGCUUCGGCCGGACAGGGAUGGGCAUGCGGCGCAUUAGGCAGUAGGCGGGGUAACGGCCCACCUAACCGACGAUGCGUAGGGGUUCUGAGAGGAAGGUCCCCCACACUGGUACUGAGACACGGACCAGACUCCUACGGGAGGCAGCAGUGAGGAAUAUUGGUCAAUGGUCGGGAGACUGAACCAGCCAAGCCGCGUGAGGGAGGAAGGUACAGAGUAUCGUAAACCUCUUUUGUCAGGGAACAAAGGCGGGGACGUGUCCCCGGAUGAGUGUACCUGAAGAAAAAGCAUCGGCUAACUCCGUGCCAGCAGCCGCGGUAAUACGGAGGAUGCGAGCGUUAUCCGGAUUUAUUGGGUUUAAAGGGUGCGC